AGAUCAUUACAGCGAAACGGCGCGAGCCGCCUUUCGAACCACCGCGUACCGAACCCCCCACGUUGCCUCGGCGGGCGCCGGGCGCCCCGCGCCCGCCGAACGGCCCCCCCAGCAAGACCCCUUCCGUCGAGAUGGCGUCGUCUGAACCCUCCGGGGAAAACGUUUUUGAAACGAAAAACACAACUUUCAACAAUGGAUCUCUUGGCUCCGGCAUCGAUGAAGAACGCAGCGAAACGCGAUAGCUAGUGUGAAUUGCAGAUUUCAGUGAAUCAUCGAGUCUUUGAACGCACAUUGCGCCUCUUGGUAUUCCUCGAGGCAUGCCUGUUCGAGCGUCGUUACGCCCCUCAAGCGCGAGCUUGUGUGUUUGGGGACCGCCCCUGAGACACGGCGGCGGCCCCGGAAUGCAUCGGCGGUGCUGGUCCCAGCCCGGAGCGCAGCAGACAUGCGGCUCCGCGGGCGGGCCCGGCGCCCGCCGGACAAACGACGAGACCCCCCCACGAGUCGA
This 505-nucleotide ribosomal RNA is filed under the name Dothideomycetes sp. D133_106. RNAcentral describes it as "eukaryotic LSU rRNA". The stretch from base 182 to 335 matches the Rfam family "5.8S ribosomal RNA". The record is from RNAcentral. Lineage: Eukaryota; Fungi; Ascomycota; Dothideomycetes.